RNAcentral lists this ribosomal RNA (253 nucleotides) under uncultured bacterium. Its description in RNAcentral is "partial 16S ribosomal RNA". It matches the Rfam family "Bacterial small subunit ribosomal RNA", at positions 524 to 776 of the family's 1533-position model. The record is from RNAcentral.
UACGGGGGGGGCAAGCGUUGUUCGGAAUUACUGGGCGUAAAGCGUGCGCAGGCGGUUUGUUAAGACAGGUGUGAAAUCCCCGGGCUUAACCUGGGAACUGCGCUUGUUACUGGCAGACUUGAGUGUGGCAGAGGGGGGUGGAAUUCCAGGUGUAGCAGUGAAAUGCGUAGAGAUCUGGAGGAACACCGAUGGCGAAGGCAGCCCCCUGGGUUAACACUGACGCUCAUGCACGAAAGCGUGGGGAGCAAACAGG